RNAcentral lists this ribosomal RNA (430 nucleotides) under uncultured archaeon. RNAcentral's name for it is "bacterial SSU rRNA". It matches the Rfam family "Archaeal small subunit ribosomal RNA", at positions 474 to 903 of the family's 1478-position model. The record is from RNAcentral.
UACCUGCAGCUCAAGUAGUGACCACUAUUAUUGGGCCUAAAACGUUCGUAGCCUGUUUGGUAAAUGCCUAGGUAAAUCGUGUAGCUUAACUAUACGAAUUCCGGGUAGACUGAUAGACUUGGGACCGGGAGAGGCUAGAGGUACUCCUGGGGUAGAGGUGAAAUUCUGUAAUCCUAGGGGGACCACCAGUGGCGAAAGCGUCUAGCUAGAACGGGUCUGACGGUGAGGGACGAAGCCCUGGGGCGCAAACCGGAUUAGAUACCCGGGUAGUCCAGGGUGUAAACGCUGCUUGCUUGAUGUUAGUCGGGCUCCGAGCCCGAUUAGUGUCGGAGAGAAGUUGUUAAGCAAGCUGCCUGGGAAGUACGGCCGCAAGACUGAAACUUAAAGGAAUUGGCGGGGGAGCACAGCAACGGGUGGAGCGGUGCGGUUU